CAGUCGCCACGGUAAAACGAUGGGGGCUAGCGUUGCUCGGAAUGACUGGGCGUAAAGGGCGCGUAGGCGGCGAUCAAAGUCAGGCGUGAAAUUCCUGGGCUCAACCUGGGGGCUGCGUUUGAUACUUGAUUGCUAGAGUGGGGAAGAGGGUCGUGGAAUUCCCAGUGUAGAGGUGAAAUUCGUAGAUAUUGGGAAGAACACCGGUGGCGAAGGCGGCGACCUGGUCCUUGACUGACGCUGAGGCGCGAAAGCGUGGGGAGCAAACAGGAUUAGAUACCCGUGUAGUCCCUGUCUCUUAUAC
This 301-nucleotide ribosomal RNA is filed under the name uncultured bacterium. RNAcentral's name for it is "partial 16S ribosomal RNA". It matches the Rfam family "Bacterial small subunit ribosomal RNA", at positions 509 to 807 of the family's 1533-position model. The record is from RNAcentral.